AUUCUGUUAAAAGAAAUUUUCAUUUUCUUUAAAUCUUAAAAUACAGAAUU
RNAcentral lists this transfer RNA (50 nucleotides) under Panonychus citri (citrus red mite). RNAcentral's name for it is "tRNA-Glu". Lineage: Eukaryota; Metazoa; Arthropoda; Arachnida; Trombidiformes; Tetranychidae. The record is from RNAcentral.